Molecule: ribosomal RNA, 253 nt
Filed under: uncultured bacterium
Lineage: Bacteria
Description: partial 16S ribosomal RNA
Rfam family: Bacterial small subunit ribosomal RNA
Source: RNAcentral
UACGUAGGGUGCGAGCGUUGUCCGGAAUUAUUGGGCGUAAAGAGCUCGUAGGCGGUCUGUCGCGUCAGCUGUGAAAACCCGCGGCUUAACUGUGGGCUUGCAGCUGAUACGGGCGGGCUAGAGUUCGGUAGGGGAGACUGGAAUUCCUGGUGUAGCGGUGAAAUGCGCAGAUAUCAGGAGGAACACCGGUGGCGAAGGCGGCUCUCUGGACCGAGACUGACGCUGAGGCGCGAAAGCGUGGGGAGCAAACAGG